RNAcentral lists this ribosomal RNA (434 nucleotides) under Ehrlichia canis. RNAcentral describes it as "bacterial SSU rRNA". It matches the Rfam family "Bacterial small subunit ribosomal RNA", at positions 48 to 505 of the family's 1533-position model. Lineage: Bacteria; Pseudomonadati; Pseudomonadota; Alphaproteobacteria; Rickettsiales; Anaplasmataceae. The record is from RNAcentral.
CUAACACAUGCAAGUCGAACGGACAAUUAUUUAUAGCCUCUGGCUAUAGGAAAUUGUUAGUGGCAGACGGGUGAGUAAUGCGUAGGAAUCUACCUAGUAGUACGGAAUAGCCAUUAGAAAUGGUGGGUAAUACUGUAUAAUCCCCGAGGGGGAAAGAUUUAUCGCUAUUAGAUGAGCCUACGUUAGAUUAGCUAGUUGGUGAGGUAAUGGCUUACCAAGGCUAUGAUCUAUAGCUGGUCUGAGAGGACGAUCAGCCACACUGGAACUGAGAUACGGUCCAGACUCCUACGGGAGGCAGCAGUGGGGAAUAUUGGACAAUGGGCGAAAGCCUGAUCCAGCUAUGCCGCGUGAGUGAAGAAGGCCUUCGGGUUGUAAAACUCUUUCAAUAGGGAAGAUAAUGACGGUACCUAUAGAAGAAGUCCCGGCAAACUCUG